GAUAUAUGUGCAUGCCAAGGGGAUGAUAGUAGAUGAUGAAUAUGUGAUCAUGGGAUCUGCCAACAUUAACCAAAGAUCCAUGGCUGGUUCCAAAGACACUGAGAUAGCUAUGGGUUCUUAUCAGCCGCAUCACACAUGGGCUAGGAAGCUGAAACAUCCACAUGGUCAGGUUUGUAGAUGAUCUUGUUUUCUUUGUUUUCUUUCUUCUGUAAUAAAGGAAGUUGACUUACAUGGGUUCAUUAUUGUAUAUGCAUGGUCAAGACCUGUUUUAUAAUAAUAUUCUUUUCUAUUAAUUAUCAAUCACAAGCUGCUCAUGUAGAAGCUUAGAUUAGAAAAGAAUCCUAUUCAGAAAUAACAAUCCAGGUUUGCUUCCAUCAAGUUUCUUGAACCUUGCUAUAUGUGAUUUAGGAAGUUACAUUUUGAAAUGAAAUGUCUGAUAAUUAAACAUUUUUUCCCCAUCUAUAUGCCUAGCAAGUAUAAUAUUGUAAGUGCCCUAUGAAUGUCGGUCUUGAAACAUCUUUUAUGGUCUGUAACUAUAAUUCUGCAGAUAUAUGGGUAUAGGAAGUCACUUUGGUCAGAGCAUCUUGGCAUGCUAGAUAAUUGCUUUGAGGAACCAGAAAGUUUAGACUGUAUAAGGAAGGUAAAUCAGAUUGCUGGAGAAAACUGGGGUAGAUUCACAGCCAUGGAGUUCACACCAUUGC
RNAcentral lists this long non-coding RNA (701 nucleotides) under Citrus sinensis (sweet orange). Its description in RNAcentral is "long non-coding RNA (CSIN_LNC000471)". Lineage: Eukaryota; Viridiplantae; Streptophyta; Magnoliopsida; Sapindales; Rutaceae. The record is from RNAcentral.